GGACAACUCCCAACGCUUCCCCUUCGCUUAUGCCUCCUAACCCUUCCCCUUCAGUGAGACUUGCAGGGACAACUCCUAACGCUUCCCCAAGACUUGCAGGGACAACUCCCAACGCUUCCCCUUCGCUUACGCCUCCUAACCCUUCCCCUUCGGUGCGACUUGCAGGGACAACUCCUAACGCUUCUCCGAGACUUGCAGGGACAACUCCCAACGCUUCCCCUUCGCUUACGCCUCCUAACCCUUCCCCUUCGGUGAGACUUGCAGGGACAACUCCCAACGGUUCCCCUUCGCUUACGCCUCCUAACCCUUCCCCUUC
RNAcentral lists this long non-coding RNA (316 nucleotides) under Arabidopsis lyrata. RNAcentral's name for it is "long non-coding RNA (ALYR_LNC003160)". Lineage: Eukaryota; Viridiplantae; Streptophyta; Magnoliopsida; Brassicales; Brassicaceae. The record is from RNAcentral.